AAUUUACAAAAAUAAAAGGAAACGUUUUCAUACCCUUGCUGUGUUAAUAUUAAAAGAGUGUAUGUAUGAAAAAAUGUACGAUGAUUUUUAUGAUGAUGCAUUUUUGAAUUUUUGAAUGAAUGUGUUCGGUUCUGAUGUGUGUGAAUGAAUGUCUCUUAUUGUUUAAUUUAUGACUGAGAUAUUAAAAUAUAAAAAUUUAUAUAAAUUCAUAAAAUGAAUGAAUGUUAUGUGAUAUGCAUUUUUACAUUAUAAAUCUAUGAUGAAUGAGUGUGUGAAAAAAAAAUUAUAGUUUUUAUUUUUGUUUUAUAAAAAUCAUAAUUGUUCUUUCUUCAAACAAAAAACAAUAACAAAACAACCAAAACAAAACAUCAUAGACAACAGAAACAUUUAUAAAAGAACAAACACACAAUGGGUAUGUUUUUAAAAAAGAAUUAAUAUAAUUAAAAGAAAAAAUGUUAAAGAUUUUAAACGGAAUUGAUUAACAAAAAAUAUUUCUUUUUCUUUAUUUUUAUUUUCAUACACUUAUAACACAUAAAUCAAAGAUAUAAAAACUUGAUUUAGUUAAGUUUAGAAAUUAUUAAUUAUAACAAAAUACGCUUACAAAAAAACAACAACAAAAAUAAAAUAAAACAUAGUAAAUCAUUCAGGUAAACAAAGACAACAAACAAAAUAAAAUACAAAACAACAACACAAUACAAUUAAUUAUAUACAAAAUAAAAAAAAAACUAACUAAUAACAAAAAUAUUACAAAUACAAAACAUAUUAUUACAUACCUACAUUAACAAAUUACGUAUAACGACGUAAACAUUCAAUAAAUAAAACAAUAACUUUAAACAAACAAACAAAAUACAAAGUCAUAAAGAAAAACAACACAUGACCAAAUUCACUUAGCCGUUUAAGAUCUUUAGUUAUUUAUAUAUUUUCUCUUAAUAUUCAUAAAUAAUAUUUAAAAUCUUAACGAAUCAUAUUACAGUUUCGUCGUUUUUGGUGGUUAUAUUUGCAAAUACGAAAAAGCGUUUUUCACAUAUUGGUCAUGUCAAAAUAAUCAAAUUUUGAGAAUAUUCUAGCCUCCUUUUCUAUAAACAUUAUAUUAGUGAAUAUUCAAAGCUUCCAAGUGCAGUGGUUUAAGCUUCUCUUUCAUCCUGUACUUCAAGUUCAACAACCACUCACUCUGACAAGAGAAUAGUUAUACAUGAGCAGUUUCCAUGGAUAUGAAUUUCGACGUACUAGAUUUGCCAACUGAAGGUUGCUGUCUAUGAAAAAAAAACAGACAGUUGAAAAAGUUGAGCAUUCUUCACAGUCCGCUUGGAAAUAUUGUUCUGGAAGGCGCCACAGAGCCACUUCAAUUAUAGCACCUAGACAAGUGUUUAAAAAUGGGACAAAACUCUUGUAUUUUUGUUUCAACUUUAAAUCGACAUAACAAAAGGAUAAGAAGUUUUCGAUACAACCCUAAUUUCAUAGAUUGCUCGUUUUUGUCUAAAGCGAUAUUGUCUCAGAAUAAGCUCUUUUUCAAUUUGAUGCCAAACUUUUUAAAUCAUGACUCAUGUUAAAGGUUAGUUUUUUUUUAGACAUGUAGCCCCUAAGAAGAAAAGUGACUUGCGUCAAAAUUUACUUUACAAAAAGUACAAACAUUUCUUAAAUUUCUUCACAAAAAAUUGUUCCUCCAAUAAUACACAUACAAGAGAAUGUUCAUAAAGUUAAUUAUUUCUUAAAAUAUAGAUUUAAUUUUAAAACAUAAGGAACCAAUUUUUAAAUGAAAAAAUAGAUGUUUUGAAUCAAGUCACUUUGCUUCUUAGGGAAGAUGUACAUUUUUGUUUUUGAAUAAGUCGAUAGCGAAACUAUGUCAGAAUUGAAUCAAGGUUUGAAGGCGACAUUGGUACAGUGGAUGUGUAGUGUGCUUAAACAGUGUAGUUUCGAACCAUACGAUAUUAAUUGUAUUAGAUGAGAUAGUAAACACCUUUAUUUCUCAAUCCACUGCGCCAAUAAUCUAACUAGUGUCGUGCAUUUGAGUUUCAUCUUAAAAGACCUUAGGUAUCUUAACGCAGGCAUUAAGUUGAAAUUAUUAUUAUUGUUAUUAUUAUCACUAUUACUACUGAUAGUGUAUAGCCCUGUCCAAAAAAUUAAUCAACAGUUAAAUAAGGGUUACGUUCAAGAGUUGUAUUGAAAGAAAAAAAAUUGGGUUUGAAGACUUAAAGAAGUAGGAGGCCGCUAGCAUUAUUCAAAUUGCGACGUCAAAAAACACUAAAAAGUUCUAUUUUUGUACAAGAAACAAAUUUAAAAAUUUAGUAAACUAAAGAUCAAAAUCCUUUUAAGUACCAUUGGCUUACUUGUUUUUAUUAUGAAAAAAAAAGAUAUGCAAAUAUAACUACCAAAAUUGUAACCCCUUAAAACUUGAAUUCAAACUUUUCGCCCGCUUAAGAUCUAAAGAAAAUCAUUAUUAUUAUUUUUGUAGUUUUAAGUCUUAUAGAAAAUAAGAAGAAUGUAUGUUUGUUACCUUUGUGUAUGCAUUGAAAAAUUAUUAAUGUAUCUAUGACAAAAAAAAGAAACUGUUUUCUGAAAGUCGAAGAAUGAAAGAGUGUAUUUUAUGCUAUUUGCUGUGAAAUUUAUUAUUAGAAUGAAAAGAAGAAUGAAGGUGAUGGUAAUUAUAUCACAACAAUAUAACAAUGAUGAAGAUAACUAACGAUGAUGAUGAAGAAGAUGACGAUAACUCUAAAAUUACGACGUAGACAACACAACCGACUGACCGUGUGAUAUAACCAUAAGUGUGAUUUUGUGGAUGUGUUUUUGAGAGAGAGAGAGAAAGAAAUAAAAUGAAAAAUACUUUUAUUUAAGUAGCUGUGGUAUCAUUCCAAGUGUGACCAAACUCUGUGAGCGAAAGAAGUCGUUGUGAACGAACUUAGAAUUAAUUAAGAUUUAGAAUAAAAAAAUAUAUCAAAUAAAAUAUUUGUUUUUAAUUUUUAGACUAUCUUAUGGGAAUUGUGUUUGGCCGUAAGACUCCAUCUCAAUUCCCAUUGUAUGGCUCUAAACUCCGAAAACAAAUGUUAAAAAAAAGAAAAAAAAAAUAGAGAAACAAAAUAUUGAAUAAUAUUAAUAAUUCUAGUACGAUUGUUUAAAUGAAAUGUGUCUGUGAUUACGAGAAAGUUUCUUGCGAAAUAAGUUUAAAGUUAACUAAAAGAAUAAGUAAAACAUUUUUUUCUUUUUUACAAUUUUACUAAAAGAAGAAAAAAACUACUAUUAGGAUAUCCAAAAUAUUUUGUAAUAAAUAAAUAAGUAAACAAAAAAAAAAGAAUUAAUAAAGAAAAAGAAACAAAAAAAAAUGCAAGGAACUUUUUCAAAAACUCUAGUAUGUAUUUUACGAUAAUAAAAUUAAAAGAAAAAUUAUAAACAUAAAAUAAAAACAAAAAUGCUGUGAGUUUUGUGUAAGUGUGUGUAGAUGUUGUGAAUGUAUCCGAGCGCGCGCGUAUAUUAUGUGUGUGUGUGGGAGAAAGAGAGCAAUUGUAUGUGUGUUAUCUGAGAGCAACAAGCAUACAUGGUCAUUUUACGUAAAUCAAAUUAAAAAACAACACACAACAUAAAAACAUUAAAAAAAAAAUACAAAAACAAUGAAGAUAAUAAUAAUAAAAAUAUAUAUAUAAAAAACAACAACUCUUGAAACAAAACAAUUAAAACCCAUUAUACGAGUAUAAUUAAGGAAAUCAAUUAAAUUAAUUAAUUUUCUAAUAAAAAGAAAAAUUAUCGAAAAAUUCUUGUCACUUAAAAAUAAAACCAUAAAUUAAUUAAAUUACCUUAAAACUGUAUAGGUAUUUCUUAAAAAAUCAGAGAUAAAAAAUAAAAAUCAAUUUAUUAAUAAAUUAAAAAAGAAAAAACAUUUUUUGUAUGACUGAUAGUUUGUACGAAUUUUGAUGUGUGAAUAAAAUACUUUUUGUUUUUUUUUUUGAAUGGCGACUAAAAGCUA
Long non-coding RNA from Eupeodes corollae, 3955 nucleotides. RefSeq lists it as uncharacterized. The transcript has 2 exons. Lineage: Eukaryota; Metazoa; Arthropoda; Insecta; Diptera; Syrphidae. The record is from RefSeq and is a predicted model, not a curated record.